UACGUAGGGCGCAAGCGUUAUCCGGAAUUAUUGGGCGUAAAGAGCUCGUAGGCGGUCUGUCGCGUCGGCUGUGAAAACUUGGGGCUCAACCCCAAGCCUGCAGUCGAUACGGGCAGACUAGAGUGCGGUAGGGGAGACUGGAAUUCCUGGUGUAGCGGUGAAAUGCGCAGAUAUUAGGAGGAACACCGGUGGCGAAGGCGGGUCUCUGGGCCGUAACUGACGCUGAGGAGCGAAAGCGGGGGGAGCGAACAGG
Molecule: ribosomal RNA, 253 nt
Filed under: uncultured bacterium
Lineage: Bacteria
Description: partial 16S ribosomal RNA
Rfam family: Bacterial small subunit ribosomal RNA
Source: RNAcentral